UACAGAGGUCUCGAGCGUUGUUCGGAUUCAUUGGGCGUAAAGGGUGCGUAGGCGGCGGGGUAAGUCUGAUGUGAAAUCCCGGGGCUCAACCCCGGAACUGCAUUGGAUACUGCUCUGCUUGAGUACUGGAGAGGAGACUGGAAUUUACGGUGUAGCAGUGAAAUGCGCAGAUAUCAGGAAGAACACCCGUGGCGAAAGCGGCUCUCUGGAACGGUACUGACGCUGAGACCCGAAAGCGUGGGGAGCGAACAGG
RNAcentral lists this ribosomal RNA (253 nucleotides) under uncultured bacterium. RNAcentral describes it as "partial 16S ribosomal RNA". It matches the Rfam family "Bacterial small subunit ribosomal RNA", at positions 524 to 776 of the family's 1533-position model. The record is from RNAcentral.